UACGGGGGGAGCAAGCGUUGUUCGGAUUUACUGGGCGUAAAGGGCGCGUAGGCGGUCAGCACAAGUCAGUUGUGAAAUCUCCGGGCUUAACUCGGAAAGGUCAACUGAUACUGCGCGGCUAGAGUGCAGAAGGGGCAACUGGAAUUCUCGGUGUAGCGGUGAAAUGCGUAGAUAUCGAGAGGAACACCUGCGGCGAAGGCGGGUUGCUGGGCUGACACUGACGCUGAUGCGCGAAAGCCAGGGGAGCAAACGGG
Molecule: ribosomal RNA, 254 nt
Filed under: uncultured bacterium
Lineage: Bacteria
Description: partial 16S ribosomal RNA
Rfam family: Bacterial small subunit ribosomal RNA
Source: RNAcentral